CCUACGGGUGGCAGCAGUGGGGGAUAUUGCACAAUGGGGGGAACCCUGAUGCAGCGACGCCGCGUGGGUGAAGAAGGGCCUCGGCGCGUAAAGCCCUGUCAGCAGGGAAGAAAAUGACGGUACCUGAAGAAGAAGCCACGGCUAACGACGGGCCAGCAGCCGCGGUAAUACGUCGGGGGCAAGCGUGAGCCGGAUUGACUGGGGGUAAAGGGGCCGGGGACGGCGUUGCAAGCCAGGAUUGAAAGCCCGGGGCCCAACCCCGGGACUGCUCUUGGAACUGCGUGGCUGGAGUGCAGGAGGGGCAGGCGGAAUUCCUGGUGUAGCGGUGCAAUGCGUAGCUAUCAGGAGGAACACCGGUGGCGAAGGCGGCCCGCUGGACUGCAACUGACGUU
RNAcentral lists this ribosomal RNA (392 nucleotides) under uncultured bacterium. Its description in RNAcentral is "partial 16S ribosomal RNA". It matches the Rfam family "Bacterial small subunit ribosomal RNA", at positions 338 to 747 of the family's 1533-position model. The record is from RNAcentral.